Molecule: ribosomal RNA, 194 nt
Filed under: uncultured bacterium
Lineage: Bacteria
Description: partial 16S ribosomal RNA
Rfam family: Bacterial small subunit ribosomal RNA
Source: RNAcentral
CCUACGGGAGGCAGCAGUGGGGAAUAUUGGACAAUGGGCGCAAGCCUGAUCCAGCCAUGCCGCGUGUGUGAAGAAGGCCUGAGGGUUGUAAAGCACUUUCAGUAGGGAGGAGGGUUGAUAGGUUAAGAGCUAAUUGACUGGACGUUACCUACAGAAGAAGCACCGGCUAACUCCGUGCCAGCAGCCGCGGUAAU